GUGUCACAACUGUCCCAUGCCUGCUUUUGUCCCUCUUGCUGUGCCCUCUGCUCCCCCAGGGCUCUGUGGCUGCUGCCCAGGACUGUGGGACUGGCACAGAUCCCGUGGUCGAGACCCUCCUUUCUCUGCCCUUGGAGCUGCCUGGGCACAGCAGCCUUUUCCAUCUGGAAGCUGCCCAUGGACAGGGAGUCCCCAGCUGCGUUUCUUGCACAACCUCCAGGAGCCCAGGGCUGCCAUCUCAAGUCCCUGCUGGCCCUGGGGGCUCCCAGGAUGUGUUAUCUGCUCAAAAAGAAAAAAGAAAAAAAGAAAGGAAAAAAUGAGAAAAAUAUGAAAGAGAAAAACAAGAAACAAAUGUGUAGUGAAGAUCUUCUGUAACUUUGGAUUAAGAGGUAACUGAUCUUUUUAAAAGGAGAACUCAUUUACUUUGUGCAUGUUCUGAUGGCCUGGAUCCUUCUUACGGACUGACCUCAGCAUCCGUUUUUUUAAAGAUUUUGGGUUUUGUUUCCAGUAUUGAGAUUUUUUUUUAGUGGAGUUGAAGCAAUAGGAGGAUGAGAGAUGGAUUGUGCACAACGGUGUCUUGAGGGCAAAGAUAUUGCAGUUUGAAACUUGGACCUAAAGUAUUGAAAAUCAAACUUACAAAUCUCA
Long non-coding RNA from Vidua chalybeata, 645 nucleotides. RefSeq lists it as uncharacterized. The record is from RefSeq and is a predicted model, not a curated record. NCBI's taxonomy places the organism in Eukaryota, Metazoa, Chordata, Aves, Passeriformes, Viduidae. The transcript is spliced from 2 exons.